RNAcentral lists this long non-coding RNA (1496 nucleotides) under Capsicum annuum. RNAcentral describes it as "long non-coding RNA (CANN_LNC000445)". Lineage: Eukaryota; Viridiplantae; Streptophyta; Magnoliopsida; Solanales; Solanaceae. The record is from RNAcentral.
UUCGAGAAGCACCCCUUAUUUGUGCCAACAGGACUUCGAAAUCAAAAGGGCCAUUUUUUUUGGUAAGGAUGUAAAUUAUGUUGGUGUUAUUUAUAUGGAUAUGUAUAUAUAUAUAUAUAUGCAUGUGAGCAUAAGAAGUAUGUUAUUUGAUUGUUGUUGAAAGAUGAUUGGAAAUGAUGUUGGAUUAUUCUUGUGCAUGGUUGGAUUAUGUUAAAUUGUGAAGGAAUUUGGGGUGAUGAUGUGGUAUUGAUGAUGUGGUAUUGAGAUGAUGAUUAUAUACAUAUACACACAUAAACCUAUUGUUCAAGUUGGUUUUUGGAAUGUUUUGCAAAUAUUGGUAGUAUGGAAUUAUGGAAGAGAAUUGUGGUGUUGGGUUGCUAAUACUAGAUGCCAAACAUUUCAUUGUAGAUAAGUGAUUUGUAAAGGCGGGAAGUUGUGUUGAAUUGGUAUCUGAAUCUACAACGAGGUAUGUAAAGCAUACUCUAACAAUGUUCUUUGGCAUGAAAACACCAAUGUUCCAUCAAGUAAGAUUCCGAGGUUGUCCAAAAACAUGUAUUGUUCUACGUUACCAACGAAGUUGUUUCCAUCCUAUAAAGUGUCAAAAUGUUCAUUGAUAUACCAAAAGGCUCUUAUUUCAUUGUUGUGAUAUUGAUGAUUCUGAAACAUAUUGUUGAUGUACCAAUGAGUCCUUAUUACAUCGUUAUUGUAUAGAAGGUCUAUUACUUGGUUCCUAUUGAUGUAUCAUUGUUUCAAGGUAUCAAAAAUGUGGUGACGACCGAAAUAACAAUCUCAAAGAUUAAUUGAACUAAGUGAUGAAAGUUCUCUCUUAUCGGGUGGUAUCCCAGGGGCAUAAGCCUAGCAUGGGUCGAUCCCUAUUUCAUGUGUUUAUGGGUGGUAUCCCAGGGGCAUAAGCCUAGCAUGGGUCGAUCCCAGUUGAUAUGUACUGGAGGCAUCCUAAUGGUCACAGUACAGUACAGUAAUGAUUACAAAGACGAUAAGAACGAAGGUAAAGUGAUUGAAUAAAUACAAUGUACAGGUUGUCACAAGUUCUAGUAAGUGUGGUCCACUCCUAUUACGACUUAUUCACUUGUUUCUGAUUUCUAUUGAGCUCCUAUAUCAUAUGUGAUUAUUUACAGCUUUACAUACUCAGUACAUAUUUCGUACUGACGUCCCUCACGGGUGACCUGCAUUUCAUGCUGCAGGCACAGGUACCUCAACUCAUACACCGCACAAGUAGGAGCCAGGUCAUACAGCUAUUGUUGGUGAGCUCCAGUUUGCUUCGGAGCUUUCCGAGUCGGUUCCUUAUGUUUUGUUAUUUUACAUGAGUCACGUGUGGGCGGGGGUUUGUCCCGACCCUAGUUAUGUCAUGUAUAUCCUAGAGGCUUUGUAGACAUAAGGAAGGGUAAAGUCAUGGAAGUUUAUAUAGUAACGUUAUAUUUGUAUAUGUGGUGGCCCCGACGGCCAAGUAUUAUAUAUAUAUAUUUGUGCGUGUUGUG